RNAcentral lists this ribosomal RNA (505 nucleotides) under uncultured bacterium. RNAcentral describes it as "partial 16S ribosomal RNA". It matches the Rfam family "Bacterial small subunit ribosomal RNA", at positions 28 to 507 of the family's 1533-position model. The record is from RNAcentral.
GACGAACGCUGGCGGCGUGCCUAAUACAUGCAAGUAGAACGCACAGUUUAUACCGUAGCUUGCUACACCAUAGACUGUGAGUUGCGAACGGGUGAGUAACGCGUAGGUAACCUGCCUGGUAGCGGGGGAUAACUAUUGGAAACGAUAGCUAAUACCGCAUAAUAUUAAUUAUUGCACGAUAAUUGAUUGAAAGAUGCAACUGCAUCACUACCAGAUGGACCUGCGUUGUAUUAGCUAGUAGGUGAGGUAACGGCUCACCUAGGCGACGAUACAUAGCCGACCUGAGAGGGUGAUCGGCCACACUGGGACUGAGACACGGCCCAGACUCCUACGGGAGGCAGCAGUAGGGAAUCUUCGGCAAUGGACGAAAGUCUGACCGAGCAACGCCGCGCGAGUGAAGAAGGUUUUCGGAUCGUAAAGCUCUGUUGUAAGAGAAGAACGGGUGUGAGAGUGGAAAGUUCACACUGUGACGGUAUCUUACCAGAAAGGGACGGCUAACUACGUG